Molecule: long non-coding RNA, 681 nt
Organism: Pipra filicauda (Wire-tailed manakin)
Lineage: Eukaryota; Metazoa; Chordata; Aves; Passeriformes; Pipridae
Exons: 4
Source: RefSeq, a predicted model, not a curated record
AGCCCACAUGAAGUGGGCAGCUGUGUCUUCAGGGGCCUUGCUUCACCACCAGCAUGUGCCAGUGGGUCUGCUGGACACCGACUUGACACAGGAGAAGUGAGAGGAGCGGCCGGGCUCUCUGGCAGUGCGGGAGGCAAUACACAGGCAGAGAAGCCCACUGCAGUGGUGGCAGUGGUGUCAGUGAUGGCGUUUCCAGCUUUGAUUGCAUGUAGUUGUGGAGAGAACAAGGUCUCCCCUGAGCCUCCUUUUACCUAGGCUGAACAGUCCUAGCUGCCUCAGCUGCUCCCCAGUUGACUUGUGCUACAGACACCUCACCAGCUUUGUGGCCCUUUUUUGGACAUGCUCGAGAACCUCCAUGUCCUGUUGUCAGUGAUCCAAAACUCAACACUGGAGUUGAGGUGCAGUCUCACCAGUGCUGAGUACAGGAGGACUCUGGUACUUUCUAGAGCUGCAGUGGAGCAAACACUGGGAGUGUUUAUGAGGCAUUUUGAUUCAGAUCUCUUCUCAGUAAUCCUGAGGCUAACAGAGAAAUUCUGCUUAUUAAUUCUGCUUUGAAGCACAAACAGGGCUUACCUUUUCUCAAACUGUCUCCAGCUUUAGAAUAGCUACCGAGUGACACAAGAAAACGUGAAUUUGUGUUUGAUCAUCUGUUUUACCAUGUAGCUUGGCAUAAAGGGAGCA